UCCGUAGGGUGCAAUCGUUAAUCGGAAUUACUGGGCGUAAAGCGUGCGCAGGCGGUUCCAUAAGACAGAUGUGAAAUCCCCGGGCUCAACCUGGGAACUGCAUUUGUGACUGUGGGGCUAGAGUACGGUAGAGGGGGAUGGAAUUCCGCGUGUAGCAGUGAAAUGCGUAGAUAUGCGGAGGAACACCAAUGGCGAAGGCAAUCCCCUGGACCUGUACUGACGCUCAUGCACGAAAGCGUGGGGAGAAAACAGG
This 253-nucleotide ribosomal RNA is filed under the name uncultured bacterium. RNAcentral describes it as "partial 16S ribosomal RNA". It matches the Rfam family "Bacterial small subunit ribosomal RNA", at positions 524 to 776 of the family's 1533-position model. The record is from RNAcentral.